CUGGGUUUGACAUAUAGGGAAAUCUCCCAGAGAUGGGAGGUCCGUAAGGGCUCUAUACAGGUGGUGCAUGGCUGUCGUCAGCUCGUGUCGUGAGAUGUUGGGUUAAGUCCCGCAACGAGCGCAACCCUCGUCUUAUGUUGCCAGCACGUAAUGGUGGGGACUCAUAAGAGACUGCCGGGGUCAACUCGGAGGAAGGUGGGGAUGACGUCAAGUCAUCAUGCCCCUUAUGUCCAGGGCUUCACGCAUGCUACAAUGGCCGGUACAAAGGGCUGCGAAAUCGCAAGAUGGAGCGAAUCCCAAAAAGCCGGUCUCAGUUCGGAUUGGGGUCUGCAACUCGACCCCAUGAAGUCGGAGUCGCUAGUAAUCGCAGAUCAGCAACGCUGCGGUGAAUACGUUCCCGGGCCUUGUACACACCGCCCGUCACGUCACGAAAGUCGGCAACACCCGAAGCCGGUGGCCCAACCCUUGUGGAGGGAGCCGUCGAAGGUGGGGCUGGCGAUUGGGACG
This 507-nucleotide ribosomal RNA is filed under the name uncultured bacterium. RNAcentral describes it as "bacterial SSU rRNA". It matches the Rfam family "Bacterial small subunit ribosomal RNA", at positions 975 to 1482 of the family's 1533-position model. The record is from RNAcentral.